This 1542-nucleotide ribosomal RNA is filed under the name Escherichia coli. RNAcentral's name for it is "bacterial SSU rRNA". It matches the Rfam family "Bacterial small subunit ribosomal RNA". The record is from RNAcentral. Lineage: Bacteria; Pseudomonadati; Pseudomonadota; Gammaproteobacteria; Enterobacterales; Enterobacteriaceae.
AAAUUGAAGAGUUUGAUCAUGGCUCAGAUUGAACGCUGGCGGCAGGCCUAACACAUGCAAGUCGAACGGUAACAGGAAACAGCUUGCUGUUUCGCUGACGAGUGGCGGACGGGUGAGUAAUGUCUGGGAAACUGCCUGAUGGAGGGGGAUAACUACUGGAAACGGUAGCUAAUACCGCAUAACGUCGCAAGACCAAAGAGGGGGACCUUCGGGCCUCUUGCCAUCGGAUGUGCCCAGAUGGGAUUAGCUAGUAGGUGGGGUAACGGCUCACCUAGGCGACGAUCCCUAGCUGGUCUGAGAGGAUGACCAGCCACACUGGAACUGAGACACGGUCCAGACUCCUACGGGAGGCAGCAGUGGGGAAUAUUGCACAAUGGGCGCAAGCCUGAUGCAGCCAUGCCGCGUGUAUGAAGAAGGCCUUCGGGUUGUAAAGUACUUUCAGCGGGGAGGAAGGGAGUAAAGUUAAUACCUUUGCUCAUUGACGUUACCCACAGAAGAAGCACCGGCUAACUCCGUGCCAGCAGCCGCGGUAAUACGGAGGGUGCAAGCGUUAAUCGGAAUUACUGGGCGUAAAGCGCACGCAGGCGGUUUGUUAAGUCAGAUGUGAAAUCCCCGGGCUCAACCUGGGAACUGCAUCUGAUACUGGCAAGCUUGAGUCUCGUAGAGGGGGGUAGAAUUCCAGGUGUAGCGGUGAAAUGCGUAGAGAUCUGGAGGAAUACCGGUGGCGAAGGCGGCCCCCUGGACGAAGACUGACGCUCAGGUGCGAAAGCGUGGGGAGCAAACAGGAUUAGAUACCCUGGUAGUCCACGCCGUAAACGAUGUCGACUUGGAGGUUGUGCCCUUGAGGCGUGGCUUCCGGAGCUAACGCGUUAAGUCGACCGCCUGGGGAGUACGGCCGCAAGGUUAAAACUCAAAUGAAUUGACGGGGGCCCGCACAAGCGGUGGAGCAUGUGGUUUAAUUCGAUGCAACGCGAAGAACCUUACCUGGUCUUGACAUCCACAGAACUUUCCAGAGAUGGAUUGGUGCCUUCGGGAACUGUGAGACAGGUGCUGCAUGGCUGUCGUCAGCUCGUGUUGUGAAAUGUUGGGUUAAGUCCCGCAACGAGCGCAACCCUUAUCCUUUGUUGCCAGCGGUCCGGCCGGGAACUCAAAGGAGACUGCCAGUGAUAAACUGGAGGAAGGUGGGGAUGACGUCAAGUCAUCAUGGCCCUUACGACCAGGGCUACACACGUGCUACAAUGGCGCAUACAAAGAGAAGCGACCUCGCGAGAGCAAGCGGACCUCAUAAAGUGCGUCGUAGUCCGGAUUGGAGUCUGCAACUCGACUCCAUGAAGUCGGAAUCGCUAGUAAUCGUGGAUCAGAAUGCCACGGUGAAUACGUUCCCGGGCCUUGUACACACCGCCCGUCACACCAUGGGAGUGGGUUGCAAAAGAAGUAGGUAGCUUAACCUUCGGGAGGGCGCUUACCACUUUGUGAUUCAUGACUGGGGUGAAGUCGUAACAAGGUAACCGUAGGGGAACCUGCGGUUGGAUCACCUCCUUA